GACGAACGCUGGCGGCGUGCCUAAUACAUGCAAGUCGAGCGGACGAAUCGAAAGCUUGCUUUUGAUUCGUUAGCGGCGGACGGGUGAGUAACACGUGGGCAACCUGCCCUGUAGACGGGGAUAACACCGAGAAAUCGGUGCUAAUACCGGAUAACACGAAAUGUCGCAUGACGUUUCGUUGAAAGACGGCGCAAGCUGUCGCUACAGGAUGGGCCCGCGGCGCAUUAGCUAGUUGGUGAGGUAACGGCUCACCAAGGCGACGAUGCGUAGCCGACCUGAGAGGGUGAUCGGCCACACUGGGACUGAGACACGGCCCAGACUCCUACGGGAGGCAGCAGUAGGGAAUCUUCCGCAAUGGACGAAAGUCUGACGGAGCAACGCCGCGUGAGUGAAGAAGGCCUUCGGGUCGUAAAGCUCUGUUGUUAGGGAGGAACAAGUAACGCAGUAACUGGCGUUACCGUGACGGUACCUAACGAGAAAGCCACGGCUAACUACGUG
Molecule: ribosomal RNA, 498 nt
Filed under: uncultured bacterium
Lineage: Bacteria
Description: partial 16S ribosomal RNA
Rfam family: Bacterial small subunit ribosomal RNA
Source: RNAcentral